This 374-nucleotide unclassified non-coding RNA is filed under the name Hevea brasiliensis (rubber tree). The record is from RNAcentral. Lineage: Eukaryota; Viridiplantae; Streptophyta; Magnoliopsida; Malpighiales; Euphorbiaceae.
UUUUUUUUUUAGUGAUAUAAAAGGCUAUUUCAUAUAAAAAUAACCCAAUAAAUCUACUAAAAUUAUUUUCAAGUCCUAAAUUCGACAACUACAUGAUGAAAAUACAUGAAUAAUAAAACUGACGAAAUUACAACUAAGAGAGGCUAGGUUCCCAAUCAGAAACAUACCUUUAUUUGGUUGAUUUUCUUGAAAUUGUGAGACACCCUUGGCACCUUGGAAGACUUCAGAUGGCAUAAAUAUAACAAAAUAAAAUAUUUUAGUGAUUAUUUAAAUUAAUUAACCUAAAACUGUAUGAAAUCCAAGGUGAAUUGUGUGCAAAUGUACAGAACUGUGUCUAGUUCUUGUGGAAUGAAGAAAGAUCAAUUAGAAAGUAG